Molecule: long non-coding RNA, 450 nt
Filed under: Felis catus (domestic cat)
Lineage: Eukaryota; Metazoa; Chordata; Mammalia; Carnivora; Felidae
Description: lncRNA (ENSFCAG00000044150.2)
Source: RNAcentral
CUCCCAUUGCCUCUCUACUUUAUUCAUGUUUAAUGCAAUUUGUGUCUGAUUGAACCCGUACACCUUGUGCCUGCCCUGGAUUCAUCCUUCUCCAGAAGCACUUGCCACUGGGUCAACUCUUCCAGGACUGAUCCUGUUAAACAGCUGAAUUCCUGGAAAAUGGCCCUAAUCUUCCACUUUGAAGGACUCACCCCCAAAACACAGAGCAGAGCUUUCUGGAAUUCCUAUUGUGUGGUGAGUUCUCUAUGGAUGUUUUUUUGAAAUGAAUGAGUUGGAGUCUCUAGAAGAUUCUUCAGUCCCUUCUGAGUGAUUAGGGAAAAGUUGCAUUAGAAAAUGAGUUUUCCGAGGGCAUCUGGGUUGUUCAGUCAGUUGAGCAUCUGACUCUUGAUUUCAGGUCAUGAUUUCACAGUUUGUGGGAUCAAGCCCCACUUAGGAUUUUCUCUCUCCCCC